UACGUAGGGUGCAAGCGUUGUCCGGAAUUAUUGGGCGUAAAGAGCUUGUAGGUGGUUUGUCGCGUUGUUCGUGAAAUCUCACGGCUCAACUGUGAGCGUGCGGGCGAUACGGGCAGACUAGAGUACUGCAGGGGAGACUGGAAUUCCUGGUGUAGCGGUGGAAUGCGCAGAUAUCAGGAGGAACACCGGUGGCGAAGGCGGGUCUCUGGGCAGUAACUGACGCUGAGAAGCGAAAGCGUGGGGAGCGAACAGG
Molecule: ribosomal RNA, 253 nt
Filed under: uncultured bacterium
Lineage: Bacteria
Description: partial 16S ribosomal RNA
Rfam family: Bacterial small subunit ribosomal RNA
Source: RNAcentral